RNAcentral lists this ribosomal RNA (877 nucleotides) under uncultured bacterium. RNAcentral describes it as "bacterial SSU rRNA". It matches the Rfam family "Bacterial small subunit ribosomal RNA", at positions 8 to 914 of the family's 1533-position model. The record is from RNAcentral.
AGAGUUUGAUUAUGGCUCAGGAUGAACGCUAGCGACAGGCCUAACACAUGCAAGUCGAGGGGUAGCAUUGAAGUAGCAAUACUUUAGAUGACGACCGGCGCACGGGUGAGUAACGCGUAUGCAACCUACCUACUACAGGGGAAUAGCCCGAAGAAAUUCGGAUUAAUGCCGCAUAAUACAGGUGCACCGCAUGGUGAUAUUUGUUAAAGAUUAAUUGGUAGUAGAUGGGCAUGCGUUCCAUUAGCCAGUUGGUGAGGUAACGGCUCACCAAAGCAACGAUGGAUAGGGGAACUGAGAGGUUUAUCCCCCACACUGGUACUGAGACACGGACCAGACUCCUACGGGAGGCAGCAGUGAGGAAUAUUGGUCAAUGGGCGAGAGCCUGAACCAGCCAAGUCGCGUGAAGGAUGACUGCCCUAUGGGUUGUAAACUUCUUUUGUACUGGGGUAAAAAAGAGGACGUGUCCUUUCUUGCAAGUACAGUACGAAUAAGCAUCGGCUAACUCCGUGCCAGCAGCCGCGGUAAUACGGAGGAUGCGAGCGUUAUCCGGAUUUAUCGGGUUAAAAGGGUGCGUAGGCGGGGAUUAAAGUCAGCGGUGAAAGUUGGAGGUUCAACCUUAAAUUGGCCGUUGAAACUGGGUUUCUUGAGUGUAUUUGAAGUAGGCGGAAUUCGUUGUGUAGCGGUGAAAUGCAUAGAUAUAACGAAGACUCCAAUGCGCAGCAGCUUACUAACUACAACUGACGCUGAAGUACGAAAGCUGGGUAUCAACAGGAUUAGAUACCUGGUAGUCCACGCAUACGAUAUAUACUUUGGAAUCAUAGGGUAAGCGAAGCGAUGUAUCACUGGGAGACCCGGCAACGGGAACUCAAAUGAUGAC